GACGAACGCUGGCGGCGUGCUUAACGCAUGCAAGUCGAACGGAAAGGCCCUGCUUUUGUGGGGUGCUCGAGUGGCGAACGGGUGAGUAACACGUGAGUAACCUGCCCUUGACUUUGGGAUAACUUCAGGAAACUGGGGCUAAUACCGGAUAGGAGCUCCUGCUGCAUGGUGGGGGUUGGAAAGUUUCGGCGGUUGUGGAUGGACUCGCGGCUUAUCAGCUUGUUGGUGGGGUAGUGGCUUACCAAGGCUUUGACGGGUAGCCGGCCUGAGAGGGUGACCGGCCACAUUGGGACUGCGAGACGGACCAGACUCCUACGGGAGGCAGCAGUGGGGAAUAUUGCACAAUGGGCGGAAGCCUGAGACAGCGACGCCGGGUGCGGGAUGACGUCCUUCGGGGUGUGAACCGCUUUCGCCUGUGACGAAGCGUGAGUGACGGUAAUGGGUAAAGAAGCACCGGCUAACUACGUG
Molecule: ribosomal RNA, 468 nt
Filed under: uncultured bacterium
Lineage: Bacteria
Description: partial 16S ribosomal RNA
Rfam family: Bacterial small subunit ribosomal RNA
Source: RNAcentral